RNAcentral lists this long non-coding RNA (1817 nucleotides) under Triticum aestivum (bread wheat). RNAcentral describes it as "long non-coding RNA (TAES_LNC010638)". Lineage: Eukaryota; Viridiplantae; Streptophyta; Magnoliopsida; Poales; Poaceae. The record is from RNAcentral.
CAGACGGGUUGGAUCUUAGUAUAAGGUGGCAGCCGGUACAUUUCACACAAUGGACCUUGUAAAGUCAUUCAACUACACAAGCAGUCCUUCCAAGAUCCCAUCGUCUUCUUCCCUUCGCUCUUCUCCCUUCUGUACCUGUACACCGAGGAUUUGCAAGCUAGGGUUAGCGAUUUGCUUCAUCGCCUCUCUCUCCUCCACCUCCCCCUCUGCUGGGCCACUCUGACCUUCUCCCUACUGUAUUUUGUACCUAAUUCCAGCUCUGUACAAGCGCCCCCUCUCCCCUGAAACGACCGCGCCACCGACGAGCGCUUACAUGUAGCGCCGCCAUGCUGUAGGUCUGGGCAACAUUGACCCAGCCAUCGCAAAGCCGGCCAUCUUCUGCAGCUUAAAGUAUCCAGGGUAUGAUCUCUUAUUGAGUUAUCCAAAUAUUAUGUUUCCUCCCAUCUGUCAAUUUCCCCCAAUUGCAGCAAUGGUGUAGCAAACAGGCAAAUAGAUGUGCUCGUUGUUCCCAUACUUAAUUUGUAAACAAUUUUCAUAUCUCCUGCAGCCUAUAAAGUAAGAUUUGUGCAUGAAUGUUAUGACUUGUAUGUGAAAAAGCGAGUUAGCGUACAUGUCUGGAGUAGAAUAUACUUUGAAGUGUCUUAUUUUGAUUCACUUUGUUGAUCGUAAAAUGAAACUGCACUUUAAUGUCCAAUUGAACUUUCUGAAUUCAUUACUAGUUCUUCUUAUUCAUGCCUUUUUUCUUUGUUGCAAUCCACAUUCAAACAAUUCUUUAAAAUAACAAUACUGAUCUAGCGUACAUGCCUGGAAUCAUCUCACAAAUUUUUGAUACAUGUAAUUGUAGUACAUGUGAAUUUUACUUGUAGAUGUACUCUGACCGACCUGUGCCUAUGGCUAUCGCUAUUUUUGUUCAACUGUUUCUGAACUAAGUCCGAUGCUCGCAACCGAGAAAUCACACUUUCAGGUUUCAUUCUAAUAAAUGAAAGCAAGGGGUGUAUCCCUUUUCUCUACAAGAAAAUAUGAUUCUUCACUUGAUUUAUAACAAUUUCAGGUUAGUUGUAGUCCCCUUCUUUUAAUUUUUUCUGUACCUCAUGUACUUGCAGGAAUGAAGAGCAGACAUUAAGGUCAAGAUCUGGAACAAGAAUAUAUUUUGUAAUGGCAGCAAGUAAGAAUAUAUUUUUUACAAUCAACACUCACCAAUGGUUUUAGGAGUAAGAGCCAUGAUCUGGUACACAAAUCUUAAGCAGUGUCACUGAAAUGGUCUUUAGCAUAAAGUUUAUUCUUACCCAAUCAGAUAAUUUGGUUGACCUCUCAUAUGGAUAUGCUUCUAAAAAUAGAUGAUGUUCCUAUUUUUUCAGGUACUGUCUGGAUGUUCAGCUGCAAGCUCAUUUAUAGUUACUUUGUCUCUUCUAGCCAGCCAAGAUAUCUCUGUCAGAUGAUGAGGGGAGCUGCUAAUUCAGGAUAUAUUGGCAUCUGAAACGUAAUGUAUCUCUUGUAGUAAAGUUAUUGACAACAGAACAUGGUGGACCUUCUGUUCAAGAGUUGUGUAGAACAAGCUAUCCUUAUGAAAUAUGUGCGUCAUAUAUAUGUACACAAUGAGUGAAUCCGACUGUGUAUACGACAGUGGUGUACAAGAAAUUUAAAUAUGGUACUGUCAAGUUUUCUACGAGACAAUUGUAGCCUGGAUGAAAUUACUUUAGUGCAUCUUGAAGCCUUAGUGCAACUUCUCCAGUGAUUAUGACACUUGAUAUGUAAUUAUUAACACUGUCAUACAAACACACCUCUUAAUUUUGUCAUAUAAAUAAGCAUAUUUGGAU